ACAUCACAUAUUUGCAAAAAUGCUCCGACGUUUUCGGAGACGUCUAUUUUUUCAUGCUUUGUGGCAGCUUUAGAACAUCUGUGGCAUCUAUUAAUGUCAAAUCUAGCCUUUAUUUAACAACAUAAGCGAACUCUAUGUUACAGUGAUUGCACAGCCAUUAAGGAUCAAAUCAAUGUUCUGUUUUUUUCUCCCUCUGCUUGCUUCUUACUGUCUUUGAGGCUCGGGACCAGCACUCCUGUUGUUGGACAGAAAGACAUCAACUCAGUGACUUGAGAUAUGACUGCACUGUGCUGUUGCUGUGACUCCAGUUAAUUCUACAAGACAUGCUGUGACACCAGGAGAGAUGAGUCCCCCGUCACAGAUGGUGUGGUCAGUGAAGAUGGUCGCCUGCAGGUUCAAGCUCAUUGCAUCUCCAACCCACAUCCACUGCGACUGUACUUAAGGGAAGUUAAAGACUUUCUUCUGCACUUACA
Pelmatolapia mariae (spotted tilapia) is the source of this 473-nucleotide long non-coding RNA. RefSeq lists it as uncharacterized. The record is from RefSeq and is a predicted model, not a curated record. Lineage: Eukaryota; Metazoa; Chordata; Actinopteri; Cichliformes; Cichlidae. The transcript is spliced from 3 exons.